This 513-nucleotide ribosomal RNA is filed under the name uncultured bacterium. Its description in RNAcentral is "partial 16S ribosomal RNA". It matches the Rfam family "Bacterial small subunit ribosomal RNA", at positions 28 to 523 of the family's 1533-position model. The record is from RNAcentral.
GACGAACGCUGGCGGCAUGCCUAAUACAUGCAAGUCGAGCGAACAGAUGAAGUGCUUGCACUUCUGACGUUAGCGGCGAACGGGUGAGUAACACGUAAGGAAUCUACCUAUAAGCGGGGGAUAACAUUCGGAAACGGGUGCCAAUAUCGCAUAAUAUCUUCUUCCGCAUGGAAGACGAUUGAAAGACGCCUCUGCUGUCCCUUCUCGAUGACCUUGCGGUGCGUUAGUUAGUUGGUGGGGUAACGGCCUACCAAGACGAUGAUGCAUAGCCGACCGGAGAGGGUGAUCGGCCACAUUGGGGCUGAGACACGGUCCAAACUCCUACGGGAGGCAGCAGUAGGGAAUCUUCCGCAAUGGGCGAAAGCCUGACGGAGCGAUGCCGCGUGAGUGAAGAAGGCCUUCGGGUCGUAAAACUCUGUUAUAAGAGAAGAACAAAUUGUAGAGUAACUGCUACAGUCUUGACGGUAUCUUAUCAGAAAGCCACGGCUAACUACGUGCCAGCCGCCGCUGUAA